AGUGAACGCUGGCGGCAGGCCUAACACAUGCAAGUCGAACGGCAGCACAGUAAGAGCUUGCUCUUACGGGUGGCGAGUGGCGGACGGGUGAGGAAUACAUCGGAAUCUACUUUUUCGUGGGGGAUAACGUAGGGAAACUUACGCUAAUACCGCAUACGACCUACGGGUGAAAGCAGGGGAACUUCGGACCUUGCGCGAUUGAAUGAGCCGAUGUCGGAUUAGCUAGUUGGCGGGGUAAAGGCCCACCAAGGCGACGAUCCGUAGCUGGUCUGAGAGGAUGAUCAGCCACACUGGAACUGAGACACGGUCCAGACUCCUACGGGAGGCAGCAGUGGGGAAUAUUGGACAAUGGGCGCAAGCCUGAUCCAGCCAUACCGCGUGGGUGAAGAAGGCCUUCGGGUUGUAAAGCCCUUUUGUUGGGAAAGAAAAGCAGCAGGUUAAUACCCCGCUGUUCUGACGGUACCCAAAGAAUAAGCACCGGCUAACUUCGUG
RNAcentral lists this ribosomal RNA (492 nucleotides) under uncultured bacterium. RNAcentral's name for it is "partial 16S ribosomal RNA". It matches the Rfam family "Bacterial small subunit ribosomal RNA", at positions 29 to 507 of the family's 1533-position model. The record is from RNAcentral.